UACAGAGGGGGCAAGCGUUGUUCGGAAUUACUGGGCGUAAAGGGCGCGUAGGCGGCCGCCUAAGUCAGACGUGAAAUCCCUCGGCUCAACCGGGGAACUGCGUCUGAUACUGGGUGGCUUGAAUUCGGGAGAGGGAUGCGGAAUUCCAGGUGUAGCGGUGAAAUGCGUAGAUAUCUGGAGGAACACCGGUGGCGAAGGCGGCAUCCUGGACCGAGAUUGACGCUGAGGCACGAAAGCCAGGGGAGCAAACGGG
Molecule: ribosomal RNA, 253 nt
Filed under: uncultured bacterium
Lineage: Bacteria
Description: partial 16S ribosomal RNA
Rfam family: Bacterial small subunit ribosomal RNA
Source: RNAcentral